UGCCGAGGUAGUCUAGUCCGGGAAGGCGGUGGCCUCGAAAGCCACUGGUGCCUGGCACCUCGGGAGUUCAAAUCUCCCCCUCGGCGUCC
RNAcentral lists this transfer RNA (89 nucleotides) under Methanoculleus chikugoensis. RNAcentral describes it as "tRNA-Ser". It matches the Rfam family "tRNA". From Rfam's summary of the family: Transfer RNA (tRNA) molecules are approximately 80 nucleotides in length. Lineage: Archaea; Methanobacteriati; Methanobacteriota; Methanomicrobia; Methanomicrobiales; Methanomicrobiaceae. The record is from RNAcentral.